ACUCCUACGGGGGGCAGCAGUGAGGAAUAUUGGACAAUGGGCGGGAGCCUGAACCAGCCAUGUCGCGUGCAGGAAGACUGCCCUAUGGGCUGUAAACUGCUUUUAUACGGGAAUAAAUGCCCUACGUGUAGGGAGUUGCGUGUACCGUAUGAAUAAGCACCGGCUAACUCCGUGCCAGCAGCCGCGGUAA
Molecule: ribosomal RNA, 190 nt
Filed under: uncultured Flavobacteriales bacterium
Lineage: Bacteria; Pseudomonadati; Bacteroidota; Flavobacteriia; Flavobacteriales
Description: partial 16S ribosomal RNA
Rfam family: Bacterial small subunit ribosomal RNA
Source: RNAcentral